Molecule: ribosomal RNA, 690 nt
Filed under: uncultured Lachnospiraceae bacterium
Lineage: Bacteria; Bacillati; Bacillota; Clostridia; Lachnospirales; Lachnospiraceae
Description: bacterial SSU rRNA
Rfam family: Bacterial small subunit ribosomal RNA
Source: RNAcentral
UCUUCGGAAGGAAGCUCAAGUGACUGAGUGGCGGACGGGUGAGUAACGCGUGGGUAACCUGCCUCAUACAGGGGGAUAACAGUUAGAAAUGACUGCUAAUACCGCAUAAGCACACGUGAUCGCAUGAUCGAGUGUGAAAAACUCCGGUGGUAUGAGAUGGACCCGCGUCUGAUUAGCUAGUUGGUGGGGUAAUGGCCCACCAAGGCGACGAUCAGUAGCCGGCCUGAGAGGGUGGACGGCCACAUUGGGACUGAGACACGGCCCAAACUCCUACGGGAGGCAGCAGUGGGGAAUAUUGCACAAUGGGGGAAACCCUGAUGCAGCGACGCCGCGUGAAGGAUGAAGUAUUUCGGUAUGUAAACUUCUAUCAGCAGGGAAGAAAAUGACGGUACCUGACUAAGAAGCCCCGGCUAACUACGUGCCAGCAGCCGCGGUAAUACGUAGGGGGCAAGCGUUAUCCGGAUUUACUGGGUGUAAAGGGAGCGUAGACGGCAGUGCAAGUCUGAAGUGAAAGCCCGGGGCUCAACCCCGGGACUGCUUUGGAAACUGUGCAGCUAGAGUGUCGGAGAGGCAAGCGGAAUUCCUAGUGUAGCGGUGAAAUGCGUAGAUAUUAGGAGGAACACCAGUGGCGAAGGCGGCUUGCUGGACGAUGACUGACGUUGAGGCUCGAAAGCGUGGGGAGCAAACAGG